This 425-nucleotide ribosomal RNA is filed under the name Vibrio parahaemolyticus. Its description in RNAcentral is "bacterial SSU rRNA". It matches the Rfam family "Bacterial small subunit ribosomal RNA", at positions 509 to 933 of the family's 1533-position model. Lineage: Bacteria; Pseudomonadati; Pseudomonadota; Gammaproteobacteria; Vibrionales; Vibrionaceae. The record is from RNAcentral.
CAGCAGCCGCGGUAAUACGGAGGGUGCGAGCGUUAAUCGGAAUUACUGGGCGUAAAGCGCAUGCAGGUGGUUUGUUAAGUCAGAUGUGAAAGCCCGGGGCUCAACCUCGGAAUUGCAUUUGAAACUGGCAGACUAGAGUACUGUAGAGGGGGGUAGAAUUUCAGGUGUAGCGGUGAAAUGCGUAGAGAUCUGAAGGAAUACCGGUGGCGAAGGCGGCCCCCUGGACAGAUACUGACACUCAGAUGCGAAAGCGUGGGGAGCAAACAGGAUUAGAUACCCUGGUAGUCCACGCCGUAAACGAUGUCUACUUGGAGGUUGUGGCCUUGAGCCGUGGCUUUCGGAGCUAACGCGUUAAGUAGACCGCCUGGGGAGUACGGUCGCAAGAUUAAAACUCAAAUGAAUUGACGGGGGCCCGCACAAGCGGU